Molecule: long non-coding RNA, 599 nt
Organism: Bufo gargarizans (Asiatic toad)
Lineage: Eukaryota; Metazoa; Chordata; Amphibia; Anura; Bufonidae
Exons: 5
Source: RefSeq, a predicted model, not a curated record
UGGAGCCUGACUCCUGUAGACUCUGGAAGAAGUGCAGUCACAGAACUCUCCAUGGUGAAGGGUUGUCAGAGGAGGAGGACACGUCCGACCCCAGGCCAGGGCUGUCUGCCUUCGUUAUUGCCUCCUUGUCACCUGGUUCUCCUGGCCGGUUGAUGAACUUUACCCUUGUGGCGUGUAUCCAGGGAAAACUUCUGGCCAUCUUGAGAACAUGUCCACUAUUACUAAGGUGUUUUCCUGUUUCCCUGUUUUACCUGGAAUAUGAGUGAAGUCUACCUGUAGGUUCCUACAAUAUAGGAUCUGCUCAGUGGAUAUCUUCUAUAUAAGAUCCUUCUCCUGAUUGACCCCCUCAUGGAUGGAUAGGGACAAGAUGGUGGAGAGUAUAAUAAUCUCACCCUAGAGAUCCUCUUCCGGCUUACUGGAGAGGACUACAUAGUAGUGAAGAAGACCUCUAAUGAGCGCUGUCAGGCCCUUGUGUCUGAAGAAUGGGGAAGAACCCUGAGCCCAAUCACGGGGCCUCCACCUCACCCCCUGAUGCAUGAGGAAAUCAAAAGAGAGAAGAUCCUAGAACUCGCCAACAAGAUGAUUGAGAUGCUGACUGG